Pipra filicauda (Wire-tailed manakin) is the source of this 456-nucleotide long non-coding RNA. RefSeq lists it as uncharacterized. The record is from RefSeq and is a predicted model, not a curated record. The transcript is spliced from 3 exons. NCBI's taxonomy places the organism in Eukaryota, Metazoa, Chordata, Aves, Passeriformes, Pipridae.
CCCUUUUGUGUGGUGCCGCGUCCCUAUCCCUGUUUCCCUCAGGCCGUGGCACAUAUUCAUGCCACCACCUUUAUGUCACAGAACUACAAUCAUUUGUUCCUUGGAAAACUCUUCUUCAUUUAGCAAGGUUUUGUUCAAACCGGAACAAUCUUGCAUACGUUUGUGAGUUUUGUCUUGAUGGAAGUUAGGAUUAGAUUGGGCCUGUAAACAGAAGAGGAUGAGAUGCAGGAGCCUGCUAUAGGAAAAACACUUGUCCUGACCUUAUCUAUACAGCAUAACGUGCAAGAAAAAGAGAAUUUCAAGCAGCCUGGAUCAUCAGAAAACCAUGCCCUUCCUGGGGGAAAUGCCACUCACUGGACAGAGAGCUGAAUCCCAAAAGACUGAAUAGAUGUCACAUUAGAAGAGAGGAGAGAGAAAGAACUGUCAUGUAAGUAAAAUAAUUAAAAGGCAAAAUAA